UGCAGAUUAGACUAAUUAACAUUCUAAUAUGAGUGGGCGUGUCUUUCAAUGUACUGGCAUCACAUACGGGUUCAUUCUUGCCUUGCACUGUGUGUUGCUGUUGUAGGCUCCCGCCCCCUCAACUUUCUUUGGAUUAGGAUAUCUACUCCACAGUAAUUAUAAAUUGAACAGUCUGAAGCAAAUUGAAUUCAGCGUCUGAAUGGGACAAGACACUUUUUCAAAAAAUCUGUCCUAUUGAAAGUGUUUGGAGCAGAAAGUCUGCAUGAGUCCAUGAAGAAGGGUCAGCUCCUAUUCUGCAAGCUGCAUGGUCUUUCCUGGAAGGAUGCUCCAAGUUUCAACUGAAUUUUGUAUUUUAUUUGAAAGAAUAGACUUUGUAAGACUGUAUAUAAUUUGAUGUAUAUAAACUAUGGUUUUAAAUCAUAUUCAAAAACUUACAAACACUGUUCAUAAAGUAACUGACAGAUUGUGAAUUGUUGGUUACAGUGUAAUACUAUUAGUGCCAAAAUGUCAUCUUUGAUUCUUGAAUGUUUUUAAAGCAGUCAGACUUUCAAAAAGCUGCAUUUUCUAUAUAUGAAUUCAUUUUUAUAAGUGUAAGAAUUUCUAAAAAAAACAAUUUUUAAUGCUUAUUUCCAAGACUCAAAUUCUUAGGUGCAUAAGUUCAAAUAAAGAAGUCAAUUUUA
Long non-coding RNA from Polypterus senegalus (gray bichir), 680 nucleotides. RefSeq lists it as uncharacterized. The record is from RefSeq and is a predicted model, not a curated record. The transcript is spliced from 2 exons. Lineage: Eukaryota; Metazoa; Chordata; Cladistia; Polypteriformes; Polypteridae.